AGGGUUUGAUUAUGGCUCAGGACGAACGCUGGCGGCAUGCCUAACGCAUGCAAGUCGAACGAGAAAGUUCCUUCGGGAGCAAUUAAAGUGGCGCACGGGUGAGUAACGCGUAGACAAUCUGCCCUUCAGUCUGGGACAACUUUUCGAAAGGAGAGCUAAUACCGGAUAACAAUGCAUGACACAAGUUGUAUAUUUGAAAGCUUUAUGUGCUGAAGGAGGGGUCUGCGUCCCAUUAGCUAGUUGGUAAGGUAAAGGCUUACCAAGGCAACGAUGGGUAGCGGGUUUGAGAGGACGAUCCGCCACACUGGAACUGAGACACGGUCCAGACUCCUACGGGAGGCAGCAGUGGGGAAUAUUGCACAAUGGAGGCAACUCUGAUGCAGCAAUGUCGCGUGAGUGAAGAAGGCCCUUGAGUCGUAAAGCUCUUUUAUGGGGGAAGAUGAUGACGGUACCCCAAGAAUAAGCACCGGCUAACUAUGUGCCAGCAGCCGCGGUAAUAC
RNAcentral lists this ribosomal RNA (500 nucleotides) under uncultured bacterium. Its description in RNAcentral is "bacterial SSU rRNA". It matches the Rfam family "Bacterial small subunit ribosomal RNA", at positions 8 to 526 of the family's 1533-position model. The record is from RNAcentral.